This 2483-nucleotide long non-coding RNA is filed under the name Solanum lycopersicum (tomato). Its description in RNAcentral is "long non-coding RNA (SLYC_LNC001180)". Lineage: Eukaryota; Viridiplantae; Streptophyta; Magnoliopsida; Solanales; Solanaceae. The record is from RNAcentral.
CAAAAUAUGUGUAUCUCAAUGUUCGCCUUUUAAGUUCUUGGUGUAUUCCAUCUUCAGUGGGUUGAAUCUUUGUCUUAAUGCAAUUGUUUUUACCUUUGCAAAUGAAGUAUUAGUAGAUGAACAACUUCCCCUCUAAGCUGCCCUCCACCUGCUGAAGAAUAUGAUUUCAUAUUAAUGACAUUUUUACAUCUUUGAUCAUCCCCUUCCCAGACCCAAAAGAAAAAGGAAAUAAACCUCAAUUACUCAUUAAAACAUUGGUCUUCCUUUAUCUGUCUUUAUUGAAUUUGUCAGUUGAAAAUGAAUGUAAAUUUCAGGCUUUCUUGGUUCUUUUACAAAAAGAUUUAGAUGAUACACCAAGAUGGUGUCUACUUUACCAAGUAGACGUUGAAUCUGAUCUGGAUACUCGAUUUUCCUACAACAAUAGGGUAUUUUCCUACCUGAAAAACAGAAUUAUUUAGCUACUUCCCCCCCUCUUUCGUAAAAUCUCAUUUAUAACUUGACUACUUAUUUGGAUGUGACAGUAAUGAGUGCUUCAUCGAUUUCACUUGCUGUAAAUUUGUUCUGUGGUAGUAGUGUCAGUUUAUCUUAGGUUGUUUUAAUGGUAACGUUUUAUUUUUGUUGUUUGAUGGUGAAUAUUUUAAUCAGAUUAUGCAUGAAGAGAACCUUGAUAAUCCGCUUCUCAUGGCAUUGCGGCAGAGGAUCCUAGAUCAUGCUGAUGAUAUGGAAACUUUUGUUUUGAAACUUGUCCCCAGUACUGGUCUGGCAAAGGCCUUGGACUUAGCCAAGGUAGCAAUAGGGGUUGUCUCUUCCCAUGUUGAAGGAGAUGAAUCAACUGAAAAUUGUCCAAUAUGCUGCGAGGAUAGACUGUUAGUGAUGGUGACGACAUUGAAAUGUACCCACAAGUUCUGUUCUCACUGUAUGAGAACUUAUGUUGAGGGUAAAGUCCAAUCUGGUCAAGUACCCAUUAGGUGCCCUCAGCUAAAAUGCAAAUACCUCAUCUCUGCAACUGAAUGUAUAUCUUUUCUCCCUCUUAACUCCUAUGGAUCUCUAGUGAGGGUCCUUGAAGAAGCGAAUGCUCUCAACUCGGACAAGCUUUACUGCCCGUAUCCAAAUUGUUCUGUUCUUUUGGAUCCUCAUGACUGUAUGUCCACUCGGGCUAGUUCAUCAAGCCAGUUAGAGAAUAGUUGUGUGGACUGUCCAGUUUGUCAAAGGUUUAUGUGUGUGGAUUGUAGGGUCCCAUGGCAUUCUUCAAUGACUUGUGAAGACUACCAAAAUCUCCCUUUGGAGGAGAGGGAUGCUGGUGACAUAACUUUGCAUCGCCUGGCACAAAAUAAGAGAUGGAGGCGCUGUUCACAGUGCAGGAGGAUGAUUGAGCUCACACACGGAUGCUAUCAUAUGACAUGCUGGUAAUAUAUUUUGUUCCUUUUAACUUUUUAAUGCAAGAUUCAGGAUCCUAUAUUGGCUUCUGAAUCAGUGAGAAUAGUACCUUGAUAUUCUGAACCUGUUAGCUACAUCUUUAUGUUUUCAUAUCAUGUACUUGUAGAUCCUUAUCUGAUUAAUAUUUCCUGAAAACUGAUGUUGAGAUUUUGGAACAUAAGCUCUAAGUCCCAAAUACUCAUUAUUAGACAAAAGCACUAUUAAACUCAGGAGCUUGGAAACCGAGGAUUCUUCUAAGUACGUGGAAAUGAAGUGUUGGUUCUCCAGGAAUGAUCGACUAUAUCUGAUACAAAGAGAACUAUCUUUCCUCUUUAUAUUCCGUUACCGUCCUGCAUGAGAAUCAUCGAGGAGUAUUGGUUUUUUCCUUUUACACUAUCAGAAAAUAAGUUCUUUUUUAGCACUUCAUGUAGGGAAGUUCUUUUAACAUAUAUAUUGCUUCUUGCAUUUUAUCUGCACCUCAUCUAAUUGCCUAUAUGUUGUAAAAGCGAAAAUCAAAGUUUUCUUAUUGGGAGAUUCUGGAAUAGGAUGGCUGGUAUUGCUGGUAGUGCUAAUAAAUGUACUGGUUUAUCAACCCCUGAAUGGUGAACCUACACAAUCUAAAUAGUGUUGGAGGUAUCUGCUUAUUCACUGGUGUUAAUUUUCCCAUACCCGUACAUUGUAAACUAUGAAAGCUUAUUCUUUAAUAACACAGUAUGAUAUUGAAUCUUUAGUUGUCUUGUUGGAAAAAAAAAUGUACAUACAUAUGUACUGUAUGUGUAUAUGUACAUAUACACACACAUAUAUAUGUAGAAGAAUAUUUAGUGGUUAGUAGGUCUAUCAUCUCUCUAUUAACUCUUUAUUACCCUCAAAAGGCUUGACAGACAAAUUGACUCAACGUGCUAUUAACGUUAAGCGACCAGACCACCCUUUUCUUUGAGAUUUGGAGUGUCCCAGAUAGCAAAUAAAACAUUAUGUAAAUGAGGCUUAGGAUGCUCACCGGUCAUUUUGGAGUUAUCCGAUAAUGGGAGAGGGGAGUGAGACUCUCCUCAGCUAGGAGCUGAUCUGAA